Molecule: ribosomal RNA, 497 nt
Filed under: uncultured bacterium
Lineage: Bacteria
Description: partial 16S ribosomal RNA
Rfam family: Bacterial small subunit ribosomal RNA
Source: RNAcentral
GAUGAACGCUGGCGGCGUGCCUAAUACAUGCAAGUCGAGCGAACAGAUGCGGAGCUUGCUCCUCUGACGUUAGCGGCGGACGGGUGAGUAACACGUGGAUAACCUACCUAUCAGACUGGGAUAACUUCGGGAAACCGGAGCUAAUACCGGAUAAUAUAUUGAACCGCAUGGUUCAAUAGUGAAAGACGGCUUUGCUUUCACUUAUAGAUGGAUCCGCGCCGCAUUAGCUAGUUGGUAAGGUAACGGCUUACCAAGGCAACGAUGCGUAGCCGACCUGAGAGGGUGAUCGGCCACACUGGAACUGAGACACGGUCCAGACUCCUACGGGAGGCAGCAGUAGGGAAUCUUCCGCAAUGGGCGAAAGCCUGACGGAGCAACGCCGCGUGAGUGAUGAAGGUCUUCGGAUCGUAAAACUCUGUUAUUAGGGAAGAACAAGUGUGAAAGUAACUAUGCGCGUCUUGACGGUAUCUAAUCAGAAAGCCACGGCUAACUACGUG